RNAcentral lists this RNase P RNA (383 nucleotides) under Alphaproteobacteria bacterium. Its description in RNAcentral is "RNase P RNA component class A". It matches the Rfam family "Bacterial RNase P class A". From Rfam's summary of the family: Ribonuclease P (RNase P) is a ubiquitous endoribonuclease, found in archaea, bacteria and eukarya as well as chloroplasts and mitochondria. Its best characterised activity is the generation of mature 5'-ends of tRNAs by cleaving the 5'-leader elements of precursor-tRNAs. The record is from RNAcentral. Lineage: Bacteria; Pseudomonadati; Pseudomonadota; Alphaproteobacteria.
UCAGAUGGCCGGAUGACCGCUUUUUAAUCUUGAUUAAGGGGAGGAAAGUCCGGGCUCCAGGGGAAAUGGGUGCCGGAUAACGUCCGGCAAGGGUAACCUUAGGGACAGUGCCACAGAAAACAGACUACCUGCCCGCAAGGGUCGGAAAAGGUGAAAAGGUGCGGUAAGAGCGCACCGCGUCGGCGGCAACGGCGACGGCAUGGCAAACCCCACCCGGAGCAAAACCGAAUAGGAAUCACACAGUCCGGUUGUAAAACCGGGCGCGGCUUUCUCCGCCGGUGGUUCGGGUUGGUUGCACGAGGUGUCCGGUAACGGGCAUCCCAGAUGAAUGGUCAUCGCCUGCUUUGCAGGUACAGAACCCGGCUUAUAGGCCGUCUGACUUU